Molecule: ribosomal RNA, 406 nt
Filed under: uncultured bacterium
Lineage: Bacteria
Description: partial 16S ribosomal RNA
Rfam family: Bacterial small subunit ribosomal RNA
Source: RNAcentral
AUUGAACGCUGGCGGCAGGCUUAACACAUGCAAGUCGAGCGAGCGGCGGACGGGUGAGUAAUGUCUGGGAAACUGCCUGAUGGAGGGGGAUAACUACUGGAAACGGUAGCUAAUACCGCAUACCAUCAGAUGUGCCCAGAGGGGCUUAGCUAGUAGGUGGGGUAAUGGCUCACCUAGGCGACGAUCCCUAGCUGGUCUGAGAGGAUGACCAGCAACAGUGGAGCGGAGACACGGUCUAGACUCCGACGUGAGGCAGCAGUGGGGAAUAUUGCACAAGGGGCGCAAGCCUGAUGCAGCCAAUCCGCGUGUGUGAAGAAGGCCUGCGGGUUGUAAAGCACUUUCAGCGAGGAGGCGUUACUCGCAGAAGAAGCACCGGCUAACUCCGUGCCAGCCGCCGCGGUAAUUC